CGCCUCCUCGCAUUCCUGGACCGGGCCCUUCCUGGACGCCUGAGGACCUAGCCCUCUGUGCAAUCUCAAGGAGCGAGAGGACCCUCUGACCCUCCAAGCCCUCUGCAGAGGAGGUAGCAGUGAGAUUGUCCGCUCCACCCCCACCCAAAUUGGAAAUAAAGGGAAGAAAACUUCAAAAUCCACACAGAGCUGAGUGCCCAGGCGGGCUGGACUGGACCGUCCCCAGGGAGGAAAGAAGAGACAGAGAGGAGAACAGCACUCGAAGUCACAGACAUACACAAGUAAAGACUGGAGUUACGCAGCUGCAGUCCAAGAACAUCAAGGAUUGCCGGCAACUACCAUGAGCUAGGAGACGGCGUGGGGCCCUGCCUCAGUGUCAGAUUCUAGACUUCACAACUGUGAGAGAAUAGAUUUCUGUUGUUUUAACCCACCCCCCGCCAAAAAAAAUUAAAUGCUGCUACAAUUUUUCAAAAGAGUGAA
Galeopterus variegatus (Sunda flying lemur) is the source of this 480-nucleotide long non-coding RNA. RefSeq lists it as uncharacterized. The record is from RefSeq and is a predicted model, not a curated record. The transcript has 2 exons. Lineage: Eukaryota; Metazoa; Chordata; Mammalia; Dermoptera; Cynocephalidae.